AACGAACGCUGGCGGCAUGCCUAAUACAUGAAGUCGAACGAGAUCUUCGGAUCUAGUGGCGCACGGGUGCGUAACGCGUGGGAAUCUGCCCUUGGGUUCGGAAUAACGCCGGGAAACUGACGCUAAUACCGGAUGAUGACGUAAGUCCAAAGAUUUAUCGCCCAAGGAUGAGCCCGCGUAGGAUUAGCUAGUUGGUAAGGUAAAGGCUUACCAAGGCGACGAUCCUUAGCUGGUCUGAGAGGAUGAUCAGCCACACUGGGACUGAGACACGGCCCAGGCUCCUACGGGAGGCAGCAGUAGGGAAUAUUGGACAAUGGGGGGAACCCUGAUCCAGCAAUGCCGCGUGAGUGAUGAAGGCCUUAGGGUUGUAAAGCUCUUUUACCCGGGAUGAUAUGACAGUACCGGGAGAAUAAGCCUCGGCUAACUCCGUGCCAGCCGCCGCAGUAA
This 447-nucleotide ribosomal RNA is filed under the name uncultured bacterium. RNAcentral describes it as "partial 16S ribosomal RNA". It matches the Rfam family "Bacterial small subunit ribosomal RNA", at positions 29 to 523 of the family's 1533-position model. The record is from RNAcentral.